UAAGCGGAGGAAAAGAAACCAACAGGGAUUGCCCUAGUAACGGCGAGUGAAGCGGCAACAGCUCAAAUUUGAAAUCUGGCGCAAGCCCGAGUUGUAAUUUGUAGAGGAUGCUUCUGGGCAGCGGCCGGUCUAAGUUCCUUGGAACAGGUCGUCAUAGAGGGUGAGAACCCCGUAUGUGACCGGCGCGCACCCUCCACGUAGCUCCUUCGACGAGUCGAGUUGUUUGGGAAUGCAGCUCUAAAUGGGAGGUAAAUUUCUUCUAAAGCUAAAUACCGGCCAGAGACCGAUAGCGCACAAGUAGAGUGAUCGAAAGAUGAAAAGCACUUUGGAAAGAGAGUUAAAAAGCACGUGAAAUUGUUGAAAGGGAAGCGCUUGCAACCAGACUCCGCGGCGGUGUUCCGCCGGUCUUCUGACCGGUCUACUCGCCGCCGUGGGGCCAACAUCGUCUGGGGCCGCCGGAUAAGACCGUUGGAAUGUGGCUCCCUCGGGAGUGUUAUAGCCAGCGGUGAUGCGGCGCGUCUCGGGCGAGGUCCGCGCUUCGGCAAGGAUGUUGGCGUAAUGGUUGCCAGCGGCCCGUCUUGAAACACGGACCAAGGAGUCUAACAUCUAUGCGAGUGUUCGGGUGUCAAACCCCUACGCGUAAUGAAAGUGAACGGAGGUGGGAGCUUCGGCGCACCAUCGACCGAUCCUGAUGUCCUCGGAUGGAUUUGAGUAAGAGCAUAGCUGUUGGGACCCGAAAGAUGGUGAACUAUGCCUGAAUAGGGUGAAGCCAGAGGAAACUCUGGUGGAGGCUCGCAGCGGUUCUGACGUGCAAAUCGAUCGUCAAAUUUGGGUAUAGGGGCGAAAGACUAAUCGAACCAU
Molecule: ribosomal RNA, 861 nt
Filed under: Epicoleosporium ramularioides
Lineage: Eukaryota; Fungi; Ascomycota; Dothideomycetes; Mycosphaerellales; Mycosphaerellaceae
Description: eukaryotic LSU rRNA
Rfam family: Eukaryotic large subunit ribosomal RNA
Source: RNAcentral